UACGGAGGGGGCAAGCGUUGUUCGGAAUUACUGGGCGUAAAGAGCGCGCAGGCGGUCGAUCAAGUCGGAUGUGAAAGCCCCCGGCUCAACUGGGGAGGGUCAUUCGAUACUGGUCGACUCGAAGGCAGGAGAGGGAAGCGGAAUUCCCGGUGUAGUGGUGAAAUGCGUAGAUAUCGGGAGGAACACCAGUGGCGAAGGCGGCUUUCUGGCCUGUUCUUGACGCUGAGGCGCGAAAGCCAGGGGAGCAAACGGG
Molecule: ribosomal RNA, 253 nt
Filed under: uncultured bacterium
Lineage: Bacteria
Description: partial 16S ribosomal RNA
Rfam family: Bacterial small subunit ribosomal RNA
Source: RNAcentral